GCGACCCCAAGUUAGGCGGGACUACCCGCUGAGUUUAAGCAUAUCAAUAAGCGGAGGAAAAGA
RNAcentral lists this ribosomal RNA (63 nucleotides) under Packera eurycephala. RNAcentral describes it as "partial 25S ribosomal RNA". It matches the Rfam family "Eukaryotic large subunit ribosomal RNA", at positions 1 to 62 of the family's 3401-position model. Lineage: Eukaryota; Viridiplantae; Streptophyta; Magnoliopsida; Asterales; Asteraceae. The record is from RNAcentral.